Molecule: ribosomal RNA, 253 nt
Filed under: uncultured bacterium
Lineage: Bacteria
Description: partial 16S ribosomal RNA
Rfam family: Bacterial small subunit ribosomal RNA
Source: RNAcentral
AACGUAGGUCCCGAGCGUUAUCCGGAUUUACUGGGCGUAAAGCGUGUUCAGGCGGUCUAGCAAGUCGGGCAUGAAAUCUCUCGGCUCAACCGGGAGGGGUGGUCCGAUACUGCUGGGCUUGAGGGCAGCAGAGGGUGGUGGAAUUCCGGGUGUAGUGGUGAAAUGCGUAGAUAUCAAGAGGAACACCGGAGGUGAAGGCGGGUUGCUGGGCUGACACUGACGCUGAGGCGCGAAAGCUAGGGUAGCAAACGGG